RNAcentral lists this transfer RNA (74 nucleotides) under Pseudomonadota bacterium. RNAcentral describes it as "Proteobacteria bacterium (wastewater metagenome) tRNA-Pro". It matches the Rfam family "tRNA". From Rfam's summary of the family: Transfer RNA (tRNA) molecules are approximately 80 nucleotides in length. Their secondary structure includes four short double-helical elements and three loops (D, anti-codon, and T loops). The record is from RNAcentral. Lineage: Bacteria; Pseudomonadati; Pseudomonadota.
CGGGGUGUAGCGCAGCCCGGUAGCGCAACGGUUUUGGGAACCGUGGGUCGGAGGUUCAAAUCCUCUCACCCCGA